This 300-nucleotide signal recognition particle RNA is filed under the name Cebus imitator (Panamanian white-faced capuchin). RNAcentral describes it as "Metazoan signal recognition particle RNA (ENSCCAG00000014515.1)". It matches the Rfam family "Metazoan signal recognition particle RNA". From Rfam's summary of the family: The signal recognition particle (SRP) is a universally conserved ribonucleoprotein. It is involved in the co-translational targeting of proteins to membranes. The eukaryotic SRP consists of a 300-nucleotide 7S RNA and six proteins: SRPs 72, 68, 54, 19, 14, and 9. Lineage: Eukaryota; Metazoa; Chordata; Mammalia; Primates; Cebidae. The record is from RNAcentral.
GCUGGGGCACGGUGGCGCGUGCCUGUAGUCCCAGCUACUCGGGAGGCUGAGGUGGGAGGAUCGCUUGAGCCCAGGAGGUCUGGGCUGUAGUGUGCUAGGCCAAUGGGGUGUCUGCACUAAGUUCGGCAUCAAUAUGGUGACCUCCUAGGAGCGGGGGACCACCAAGUUGCCUAAGGAGGGGUGAACCGGCCCAGGUCAGAAAUGGCACUGGUCAAAACUCCCAUGCUGAUCAGUAGUGGGAUCACACCUAUGAACAGCCACUGCACUCCAGCCUGGGCAACAUAGCAAGACCUGGUCUCU